GGAAACCCUGACGCAGCAACGCCGCGUGUGGGAAGAAGGCCUUCGGGUCGUAAACCACUUUUGCACGGGACGAAAAAGGGAUAUCGAACAAAUAUCCCCGAUGACGGUACCGUGAGAAUAAGCCACGGCUAACUCUGUGCCAGCAGCCGCGGUAAGACAGAGGUGGCAAGCGUUGUUCGGAAUUACUGGGCGUAAAGNGUCUGUAGGUGGUUUGUCAAGUCUUUUGGUGAAAGGCCGUAGCUUAACUAUGGGAAUGCCAAAGAGACUGGCAGGCUGGAGCUGGGAGAGGGAAGCGGAAUUUCUGGUGUAGCGGUGAAAUGCGUAGAUAUCAGAAGGAAGGCCGGUGGCGAAGGCGGCUUCCUGGAACAGUCCUGACACUGAGAGACGAAAGCGUGGGGAGCAAACAGGAGUUAAGAUACCCUGGUAGU
Molecule: ribosomal RNA, 428 nt
Filed under: uncultured bacterium
Lineage: Bacteria
Description: bacterial SSU rRNA
Rfam family: Bacterial small subunit ribosomal RNA
Source: RNAcentral